This 430-nucleotide long non-coding RNA is filed under the name Ananas comosus (pineapple). RNAcentral describes it as "long non-coding RNA (ACOM_LNC024611)". The record is from RNAcentral. Lineage: Eukaryota; Viridiplantae; Streptophyta; Magnoliopsida; Poales; Bromeliaceae.
UAUAUUACUCCCAAAUUUACGACACUAAGGGCCCGUUUGAAUACCUCUAAAAACGUAGCAUAGUUAAACUAUGCUACGCUGGUAGAAAAAUAAUCUUAUGAAGUAUUUGGAAGAAAAAAAAAUGACGUAAUUUUUGGAGUAUAGUUAUACUAUACUCCAAAAAAUGAAGUAAACUUACAAUCCACUUUAACCAAAGUAAAAAAAAUUCCACCAUUUUGGGCUCCCAAAGAUGUAUCAAUUUUUAAAUUUUAAAUUUCAACAUAAAAUUUUAGAUUUCAAAUUUUAAAAUUUUAAAAUUCAAAUUUAAUUUUGAUUUUAAAUUUCAAAUUUUAAAUUUCAAAUUUCAAAUUUCAAAAACUUCAAAUUUUAAAUUUUAAAUUUCAAAUUUCAAAAACUUCAAAUUUCAAAUUUCAAAUUUCAAUUUUCAAUU